CUUCAAAGAGCGGCACAUGUAGGUCUGGUAAAAUGUGGUAGACACCGCAGGUUUAUUUAUCUGUCAGCACUUUUGGCUAUUUUCAAUCUUCUUUCUUCCUUUCCUUUCAUCUGUUCGGUUUUCGCUAAAGCUACUUGAUGAUUUAUUUUACUUUCUCAUGUUCUUCUCCGAGUUGGUGCUGUGUAAUAUUCCUCUCUGUUAUUAGGCGAGUUUUAUUUUUCCAGUCCUUUCCUUCCCUUUCCCCGUGUUCAGAAAUUAUUUUCUAUCUGAAAAUUUGGGAGAACAUGACCUCUCUUGUUUAAAUAGAUAGUGUAAAUACAUGGCCAUAAGGUGUUUGCUUAUUUGCCUGACUGAAUUAUUCCACUGCGUAAUUAUUUCCAUACUGCAAUUCUGAAUAUAUAUUUGAAAGUUUCUCGAAGAGGCAACCAAGGUUUUGGAAAUGAAUAUUUUAAGCCUUUCUUGUAUUGAAUGAAAUGAUGUUUUAUGAAUCAUAGUAAUAUACCACAACAUAUUAGAACUGUGGCCUCGGAGUAUAGACCUUUCAAGAUGAGUAUUUCCUUCAAUUUCCUAUAAAAUAUCUCAUUUUCCUUUUGUUUGUUAAGUCGAUGCUUGAUUUUUAAUUAUUUGACUAUUAAAAUUUGGGGAUAUUACUAUUAUAGAAUCAGUAGAAGCCUCUUUAGUGAACAUAUUACAGGAAAUGCUUGAUAAAAUUUAGCACCUAAUUGUUUUUCCUUAAUUUUUUAUCUUUAAGUUAUCAGGUUGUUGUUUGCCACUCGAAGAUGUUUUAACAGUGUUUGUGUUAUCCACUUAUAGGCACAUUUGUCUAAUCAGAGGAGGUAUAAUGCGCAAUUGCAAUUAUUCAAUUGUAAGACAAUCGUGAUCUCUUUAGUGCCUUUGUUGCAUAAGAUAUUUUAUUUUCCUCUAUUUAAGCAUUCUCAAUUUCUAAAGUAGUGACAUGUUUGGUCACUCGCUUACUGAGGUAGCUUUAAAGUGUUAGUCGCUAAGCUGAUAUUGCUAGGAGUGUGUCCCUGGAACGGAAGAAACUGCAAGAAAAAUGAUAGGGUACCAAACACAUACUAUAUAUUUAUUUUCUCCGGGAAGAAUGGC
Molecule: long non-coding RNA, 1107 nt
Filed under: Nicotiana tabacum (common tobacco)
Lineage: Eukaryota; Viridiplantae; Streptophyta; Magnoliopsida; Solanales; Solanaceae
Description: long non-coding RNA (NTAB_LNC000189)
Source: RNAcentral